RNAcentral lists this unclassified non-coding RNA (370 nucleotides) under fungal sp. RNAcentral's name for it is "partial internal transcribed spacer region". The stretch from base 1 to 46 matches the Rfam family "Eukaryotic small subunit ribosomal RNA", at positions 1786 to 1831 of the family's 1831-position model. Lineage: Eukaryota; Fungi. The record is from RNAcentral.
AAGUCGUAACAAGGUUUCCGUAGGUGAACCUGCGGAAGGAUCAUUAACACGUUUCAACGUUAUUCACACUCUGUGCAUGCUGUUUCGAUCAACUCUAUUCUGUAACAGAUACUGUUGGCCCAAUCUCAUCAUCAUACUCUUGUUCGAAUAUAGAUCAAGUUGUAUGAGAGGAGGAUGAGGAGAGGUGGAGUGAUGAUCAUUCAUCAUUCUCACUCUCUUUGUUUUCUCCUCGUUUCUAUAAACACCCCUCAAUCCAACCUAAUGUUAGUAGGCUUUCUAUUGAAGGAUUGAUAUCAUCAUGAUUUCAUUCAUCUUCUCUCAUUCUAAGCAAAUACAACUACAACUCUUAGCCAUGGAUGUCUAGGUUCUC